Non-coding RNA from Populus trichocarpa (black cottonwood), 151 nucleotides. The record is from Rfam. Lineage: Eukaryota; Viridiplantae; Streptophyta; Magnoliopsida; Malpighiales; Salicaceae.
UCUAGAACUCGAGAUAUGGGCUGAACACUAAACAGUAUUUGGGCUGCAGGACAGAUUCAGACUUCUUCGUUGUUGCUACAAGUUGGAAAACGACCGUAUUAAAUCUUGGACUCCUCAUGAAAGUUUUAGGCCUAUGUCUUAGCUUUCUAUC